GCCUAAGGUAAAAUCGAUGACUGGGAUUAAGUCGUAACAAGGUAGCCGUAGGAGAACCUGCGGCUGGAUCACCUCCUUUCUAAGGA
Molecule: ribosomal RNA, 86 nt
Filed under: Oenococcus oeni
Lineage: Bacteria; Bacillati; Bacillota; Bacilli; Lactobacillales; Lactobacillaceae
Description: partial 16S ribosomal RNA
Rfam family: Bacterial small subunit ribosomal RNA
Source: RNAcentral